UUUUUUUGUUUUUGUUUUUGUUUUUUUUUACAUCCCUCCAUGAUCAAUCUGCUAGCAAUUUCUCUUGGCUUAGUAUUUGAAAUAGAUACAACUAAGCUCUGAAAUGUUUAUUCUGUCAUUCUAUUUCAAGUCACCAUUACUCACCACUCAGAAAAUAGUACCAACUUCCAAGUUGGUCUCACUGCUUCUACUUUUGCCUGUUGAAAUUAUAGUCUUUACUCAUCAGCCAAAGUGAUACUUUUAAAACUGAAGUAAGACUGUCGGACUUUUCUACUCAUAUUCUCCCAAUGGUUUAAAUUUCACUCAAUAAAACAUUAGAAGUCUUCAUUAUGCUGUAUAUGGCUCCACAGAAUAUAGUUACCAAACACUCCUGUUAUCAUCUCUGACCUCAUCACCUUCCAUUCUUAUUCAUCCACACACCUUUUCCAACUCGGCCUUCUUUGUACUUCUUCGACUUUUCAAACACACCCAUCAUGCAUUUUAGGUCUUGCUAUUUCUUGUCCUGGAACAUUCUCACCCUCUCUAUAUGGGAGUCAUUGUGGUCUCACUUUAUUUAGCUCUUUGUUCAACUGUCUUCUUAUCUAAGAUGACUUUAUUGAUAGUUAUGACUCAGCCCCUCCCCAUACACUGCCUUUUUCAUGAUAACACUUUGUUUUUAUUCUUCAUGGUUAGCAUUAUCAACAAGGUAUUUAUUAACUUGUUUGUUGUCUCUUUUCUGAGUAUAAGUACCUUCUUUUGUUCAACACCAUUUAAUUCACACCUACUAUUUAGUACACACUCAGUAAACAUUUGUCUUCCAAAAAGAAUAUGCUCAAGGCAAUGAACGAGAUGGCAUGGUCAGUGAGUUUAAAGUUACCAGGUGCUAGUUGUCAAAAAUUAAGUGUGGGCUUUUCAAUUUAUUGUCCUUAGUAUGCAUGCCAAUGGUGAGGAAUGCUUAGGAUUGCUCAUAGAUCUAGAAGUCUGUGAGGCUCUUCAGUACAUGCCUAAACCAUAUAAAACAUAUUACUGUAGAUUUUAUAAUGAACACAGUAACUAUAUCCUUAAGUCAGAACUAUGAGAUAAUCUUGAUAGUAGAAAUGAUAAAAGUAGUGUUAGCAAUACAACAAUUAUAGAUGCCAUUUAUUAUUUGCCAUAAAAUCUAUACUGAUGUUAGCUUGUAACAUAUCUCAUCAUGCAAUACCGUCUUUAAAAUUACCAUAAAAUCAUACGUUUAAAAGAUGAGCAAAUUGAUUUAGAGGAAUCCAGAAAUAUGUUCAAAAUUAUGUUCUAAUGUGAUUAAAAGCCCACAUGUAAUCCCUAGACCACUUGACUCUCAAACCUUUACAAUGUCAUAUCUACCAGCAUGACAUGAAAGCAUCUAUUCCACAUUUGCAAUUUGCAUCAACUUUAAGGUGUAUCAUUUCUUUGAAAGUUAUUUCAGAGCUUCAUUGAUUUUUCUUGGUAUUUAAUUCACUCUCUACUGAGUAACUCAUAUGCAUUUGCAAGAUCUGUGAAAAUAACCUGCUGUAAAUGGGUAGGGGAGAUUUUCCCUGAGGGAAUAAAACAAAAAAUGUACAGAAAAUGUGUUAAAAAUGUUUCUUUUUGUAGAUAGAUAAUAGACAUUGAGAU
This is a long non-coding RNA of Macaca fascicularis (crab-eating macaque), 1608 nucleotides long. The record is from Ensembl. NCBI's taxonomy places the organism in Eukaryota, Metazoa, Chordata, Mammalia, Primates, Cercopithecidae.